This 969-nucleotide ribosomal RNA is filed under the name uncultured bacterium LL-19. RNAcentral describes it as "bacterial SSU rRNA". It matches the Rfam family "Bacterial small subunit ribosomal RNA", at positions 523 to 1482 of the family's 1533-position model. The record is from RNAcentral.
AUGCGUAGGGUGCAAACGUUAUCCGGAAUUAUUGGGCGUAAAGAGAUGCGUAGGCGUCCUAGUAAGUCUUUUGUUAAAGACCACAGCCUAACUGUGGAAGAGCAUUGGAAACUGCUAGGAUUGAGACAGAGAGGGGUAAAGGGAAUUCCCGGUGGAGUGGUGAAAUACGUUGAUAUCGGGAGGAACACCAAAGGCGAAGGCACUUUACUGGCUCUGUUCUGACGCUAAGGCUCGAAAGCGUGGGUAGCAAAACGGAUUAGAUACCCGUGUAGUCCACGCCGUAAACGAUGGAUGCUAGCCGUUGGGCGCGACCGUGUUUUAUCUUCGGAUUUUAUGUGGGAGUGUUCAGUGGCGCAGUUAACACGAUAAGCAUCCCGCCUGGGUAGUACGGCCGCAAGGCUAAAACUCAAAUGAAUUGGCGGGCUCCCGCACAAGCGGAGGAGCGCGUGGUUUAAUUCGAUGGUAAUCGAAGAACCUUACCAGGGCUUGAAAUAUACCUGCAAGCUCUCUGAAAAGAGAGCCGCCUAAGAGGGUGGUAUACAGGUGCUGCAUGGCCGUCGUCAGCUCGUGUCGUGAGAUGUAGGGUUAAGUCCCGUAACGAGCGCAACCCCUUUCCCAUGUUACAAGUGUCUUGGGAGACUGCAGCGGUAAAACGUUGAGGAAGGUGGGGAUGACGUCUGGUCCUCAUGGCCCUUAUGUCCUGGGCGACACACGCGCUACAAUGGUAGGUACAACGGGAUGCCAAACCGCAAGGUGGAGCAAAUCCUAAAAAACCUAUCCCAGUCCGGAUUGAGGUCUGCAACUCGACCUCAUGAAGUUGGAUUCGCUAGUAAUCGCAGAUCAGCCAUGCUGCGGUGAAUACGUUCUCGGGGGUUGCACACACCGCCCGUCAAGCCAUGGAAGCAGGUAGUACCCGAAGGCGCUCUGAAUUUAUUCGGGGUGACGAAGGUAAUGCUUGUAACUGGGGUU